CGUCCUGCAGGAAGAAGACGGGUUACCUCAGAAGCCCACCCUGGCCGUGGAUGUGCUCGAGUGUCACCACCUUGGCAGACAAGGUCACUGUGAGGACAAACCGAAGCAGCACGUGCCAAGUGGGGUGUUCUACGGCUGCUGGCCCCACCAUGAGGGUUCACUUCAUGUCCGCCUGGCCAGGACAUGGCACCCAGAUGUUGGCCAAAGGUUAUUUUAUAUUUUUGAGAUGGGGUCUUGCUGUGUGGUCCAGGCUGGUUUUGAACUCUGGGGUUCAAGAGCUCUUCCUGCUCAGCCUCCCAGGUAGCGGGCACGACAGGCUCAUGCCAACAUGCUCGGCUCUAAUGUCAGGUAGCGGGCACGACAGGCUCAUGCCAACAUGCUCGGCUCUAAUGUCAGGUAGCAGGCACGACAGGCUCAUGCCAACAUGCUUGGCUCUAAUGUCAGGUAGCGGGCACGACAGGCUCAUGCCAACAUGCUCGGCUCUAAUGUCAGGUAGCGGGCAUGACAGGCUCAUGCCAACAUGCUCGGCUCUAAUGUCAGUUCAAGUGUUGCUGUGAAGGUGCUCUCUAAAUGAAAUUCAACCCGAAAUCACUAGACUCUGAGAAAAGUAAUUACGAGCUCUGUAAUGCAGGGAGACCCCACCCAGCCAGGUCUUGGAAGGAAUCAGACGGGGGUGGGUCCCUGAGGAAGAGGGAGUGCCGCCCACAGACCAUCUUUGGACUGGAGCUACAGCGCCAGCUCCUCCCUGAGCCUCUCGCCCUGCAGACUUCAGACUGGCCAGACCACAGUUUUGAGCCAGUUCCUUAAAAUCUCUCCCCUUCUCUCUCACAUCUGAUUGCUUCUGCUUCUUUGGGGAACACAGACUAUUUCUCUGGUUAAUACACCAUCCUCUUUGGUUCACCUUCUGAAACAGGUGUGCAGAUGGGCAUGGCUGGGGUGCAGGGACAGAUGCACGGUGGGCAGGUGCCUUGAGAGCUAUGGAAACAUGGGAAAGAGGGGGUGCAUUUCAAUAGAGAAGUCGCAGGUGAAGAGGAAGUUGACUCACGUCCAUUGAAUCAAGAAAAGUGCCCUAGGGUGCACAGGCGUUGGGGAGCUCUGGGGAGGCUGGGGAUGGACCCUAGCUGCCAGGGGAGGUGAGAACUCUGGCUUUGGCAUUCAGGCCAGGGUGGAAUGCAAAGCAGGUACGUCUGCAGGGAACCGGCAGUGGCUGGAAGAAAAGAGCAGGAGAGAGAGCCCAGGUCCCAGGAAUCCUCCUCAGAGCAGCAGAAGAUCCUCUCCCCAGGGAGGUCAUCUUACAAAUGCAAAGAUCUCUCAAAGGAAUCCACAGUCUCUGUGUGCAGGGGGGACGGUGUGCUGCUCGGCCUCUCUCCAACAGAGCCUCUGUGCCCUUCUCAGGGCUGCACAGGGUGUGAAAAGCCCUUCUCCACCAGUUCCUCCACCCACGUGUGUCCUCGCUUUCCGCCAACCCCAGCUCCGCUGGCUUCCUAUUCCAGCAGAAGGACUCAGGAUGUUUUGUUCCUUGUUAUUAUUAGAAAAUAUAAUAAAUUGAAAAAGAAGAUAAAAUAUAAUUUGCUGGCUCAGUUGAUCACGGAAUCUCACCCCAUUUUCCACAUCCAGCCAAUUCUGAUCUUUCAUGAUCAGAUCCACUUUUUUGGGAAAAGGAGAGCUCGUGGUUGAUUAGAAGGUGAUGAGCAUCAUGGGACGCUCAGGUCCCCAGAUCCCAUAAACCCAGCAAUGGCUCACCAGGCUUCCGUGCUGAGACCUGUCCAGGGCUGAAGUUGGCAGGCGUCACGUGCCCUACGUCUCAACCACGACUCAGGUGGGGCCCCAGGACCCAGCCCUGCAACGCUCCCUGCCCACAUAGUGUUUUGAGUCAGUUCACGCGUUUCUUGUUUGCUUCAAGUUCUGCUCCCCUGCCCACGUCGCCAUGGCUUUCACUGUCUGGAUCUGCACAUUCUAUGGGAGGAGGCCAGGCCAAACGGAUGGACCUGGUUCCCAUGCACUCAUACUGUCAGAUACCAGCAGACGUCAGCUGAUGGCCAGUGACCAAGAGUAGGCCUUGUGUUGGAGCCAUGGACAGCUCCCUCUGCGAAAGGUCUCAUAUAAGACAGGAAAUGUGGGCAGGGUUCUCUUCCUGAGGGCAAGGCCGGGGCACCCACACCCCCUUGCGGCUCACUAUGCCAACAAUGAAGCCUUGUUAUCUACAAGUGACAUCUGCAAAGUUUACAGUUGGAGACAAAAUCGAACUUCUCUGCCAUCUUUCAGAUGAAAUGCACUCAAGAUGAUGGUGAUGGGAGGGGACAGAAGGGCCCAGCUUUGUGACAUUUCUGUUUUUCUCUAACUCAUGAGUCACUCAGUGGUUAAUUACACAUGGAAAUAGCUGUGUCUACACUCCACAGCUCCAGUCUUCCCCUGUGUCCUUAUGGGGCCGUCCUUCUGUGUCUGUGUCCUGAUCUCUUCUGCUUCUAAGGACACAGUCCUGUGGGAUUAGGGCCACCUAAACAGCCUUGUUUUAACUUAUCACCUCUGGAAAGUCCCUGUCUCCAAAUGAGGUCAUAUCUGAGGUCCCCGGGGGUCAGGACUCCAACAGAUGAAUUUAGGGGGACAACACUCACCCCAGGACAAUUGCAUUUUUCAGUCUGAACUACCUGCCCUCAAUUCAUGCUGUGGUUUUUGAAAAGUCACUUGGAUGCCUCUGUCUUGUAUGUUGGAAAUGCUCUCAUCUUGGCUGCAGGUCUCAACGGAUCCCCCUGAGCUGGACCCUCACGCAGGCCUCUCUGCUCCCCAUCCUCCUGCCCAGGUGGCUGGCAACUGCUGUGGUCAGGAGUGGUCCCCAUCAUGAUGGCCUUGCACACAGCUUCUCACCUUCUCCAGAGCAGUGGGUGGACAUCAGAGUGUGACUUUGUGGUUGCCAGUCAAAGAGCCCCAGGACCGCCCUGUGUAAAGGCUGGGUGGCCAUACGGGUGCAGGGUGACUGCUGUAUUAGCUGCCAAGUGUGAGCAUCACGGCUGCAAACUUGGAGGGUCUGGAGAGCUGCAGUUCUUGCUGCUUGUAUCACGCAUGCCCAGUGUAGGUCCCGAGGCUGACACACACAGAGUUACCGCCAUCCACCUGUCCACAGGCGAGCCAGCCUUCAGACACAGCAUGGAACCAAUUUCCCACUGCUUAAGACAUCUGUGACAUGUGCAGACACCCAAGGCCUGUAUUUGAUUGAAGAAGCCUUACGAGUCUAAUAAGGACUUUCAGCCUUCUAGAAAGACUCAGCCGGCUAGUUCUCUGGCAUCAGGGCCCAGGUCACAUGUCACAUUUGCCAGGUGUCUCAUGGCUCCCUGAGUGGGGGUGGGGAGCUUGAAUGACAGGCCCGUCAGACACCCCAGAGCACCCAGCCCAGAGCUGGCUUCUCUUCCUUUCAUUGCAAUUUUUGACAUUGUAAUUUUUCCUAAGAGAAACUCAGGCGUAAAAGCUGGACUGGUUACACUGGUGACAGGUCCCUGAUAUAUCAAUUGUGAUGUGAAAAAUGUGACACCCACGAGCUCAUCUUCUGCAGUCUUUGCUGGGUCAUUGCUGAUUGCCUGGUGGCUCCUGGGUGGCAGUGAGCUCUUCUGGGCAGGUGGUGAAGGCUGUGGGCCGCAGGGCAGGCAAGGCUCCUGAGUCUAGAUGGCCUGUGAGGGUGAGAGCAUCUCUGCUCCUGCGAUUCCGACGGUGACCCACUGGACCAGUCGGUUGGAGUGGAGACGAGCACUUUCUUAAUGCUGCGGCAUUUCUGGCCUGCUGCCUUGUCUGUCAUCUUGGCUGUCAUGCGGGGCAGGGGUUUGUACUGGGUCAUCGCUAAGGUCCCCAUGGACCAGCAUCUUGUAGCUCCGAGGUGGCCCCCAGACCCAGGGAUGUCGACAUUAGCAGAGGGUGCUGUCUGCACCCACCCGUCGCAUGUGUCUGUGACCGUUUGCUGUGACGGUUGUUGAAGGAGUGUCCCCUCCACCUGGAGGCGGGAGAACUCGAAGCUCAGCUCUCUCAGGGUGCCUCCCUCCCCUGUUCUUUCUUUCUAGCUCUAGGGCUGGAAGGCAGGUCUCCCGCAUGCAGGGUGAGCCCUCUGCUGCUGAGCUGGGCCUCCUCAGCCCCAGGUUUCUUAGAGUUCUGUUAGUUAUGCACAGGUUCUCUUUAAAGUAUUUCCAACAGCUUCUCCAGUAGAAUGGCCGUUUUCAUAGCUCUGACUUGGAAUGAGCCUCCGUGGGAAGAGGUACAGAAGAAGUUCCCUGGGGGUAUUGAGGCUAGAUAAAAUCUGUCCAUGGAAAGGGCCUCGCAUGGAUCUGAAAAGCUGUGGACUGAGUCGACUGUGAACAGAGCUGUGCUCAGUCCGUGGUUUCCGCAUUGGUGUGGAAACCCAGGCAGAGAAUGAAGUAGUGCAAUCCUUCAGGGCGACCUCCUGGAGGCAGCGGAUGGGCACCUGGGUGAUUUCCUAGGCCCUUCCCCAGCCUCUCAGUUCUGAAAGUGCCAGGAAGCCCCAGACCACACAAAAGGCUUUUCUAGACCUUUCCCCUGCCCACCCCCUCUAGGUCUUCUACCAGUCUCCUUGAAACCGCCUGACUCCGCCCCCACAUGUGCCCGCCUUGAGGGUGGGCGGCCUCCCCCCUUUCUCCCCUCCUCUCUUCUUCUGCCCGUUCCUCCACUCUCCUAGCUGACACCUGGGGGAAGACAGGGAAAAGCCCCUGGGAGGGUGGUUUCAGGCCUCAGCACCUUGCCAUGGCUUCGCAGUGUGUCACUAUGGUUACACUGAGCCAAGUCCCAGAAUUCCCUGUCCAGCAUGUGUCUGGCUGCAGCAGGUCCCCGGGGACACUCUCGUGAGAGUUGGGCAGUGGCAGUCAUUUUGAGCAUCACACACAGCUUUCCCAAUUGUCCAAUCAAAUGCUCACCCUCAAGCUGUUGGGAGGAGAUGCGGUGACACCCUAACCAGCUGGAUUUAAGUGGGCGGAGGGGCCAUUAUCCCACCUGUGCCCCACUUACUCAGUUGGAAGGCAUUUUAAAAAGGCUUAGUCCUUCCUCAAACACAGAAACUCCACAGAGCAGCUGUGACUGCCACUGCUGGCCCACCCUGGGUGCUGCUGGCUGUCACCCGUGGGCCUUGCCCUCCCAGCUCGGUGAUCUUUUCUCCUGGGUGUAGUGUGCAUCUCAUAUUAUAUAAGCAUUUGUAGUAUACAUACCUGUAUGUUACGUGUAUUUGUAGCAAAUCUACGUAUAAUAUAGAAUCACGGUCCUUCUAUUCCAAUUAAACUUUUUGUAAGUUUGGUAUCAGGAACUGGGGUGGGGGGCUAUCCUAACAAGUACCUAGAAUGUGGGGGCAACUUGGGGCUGGGCAGCAGGGCAGAGGCUGGGAGGAUCUGAGUUGCCCGCUGCUGUGUCCCUGUGAGUGGAAGGCCCACAGAAGCAGGCUGUGAAAGGUGCCCCGCGGAGAACCCUAUGAGGAGUGAGACUGUGGGCAGGAACCUGAGGAGGGGCUCCCAUGAGGCAGGGCAAGAAGUUCAAUGGGAUCAGCCACAGGGGUCGGAACUUAGGGGGAUGAGGUUGGUUCUGUAGAUGAGGGUGUUUGUGAGUUAAAGUGAUCACCUGGCUUCUUCUUGUUUUUUGUUGUAAAACAAGGAGGAGGGGGACAAAUUGAAGAACCAAGAAACAAAAAGAAACCAGUACCUGCUGUUUCUAAAAUCCUUAGCCUUGACAGGUGAGGCUAAGGACACUGCACUUAAGAGAUGUCCAGCUGAGCAGGAGGACAAGCCUGCAGCAGCCCUCCAGCUUUGUGGAGUGACUUCUGCCAACAAGUUAUUGAGCACCUGACUUGGAUGGGACCCUGGUCCUGGCCACACCUCAGUUUCAGCCACGUGAGAUACCAAGCAGAGGACCCAGUGAAACUGUACUCUGAUCCAGACCCGUGAAAACUCUGAGAAAUGAAAGUCUUUCAUUUUAGCCAUUACAUUUGUGACAGUUUGUUGCAGAGAAAUAGAAAACAACUAUUGCACCUUAUGAUAUCACAGGUUUUAUACACUGAGCAAAGAAUAAAUAAGCCAAAGCUUAA
This is a non-coding RNA of Ictidomys tridecemlineatus (thirteen-lined ground squirrel), 6064 nucleotides long. Lineage: Eukaryota; Metazoa; Chordata; Mammalia; Rodentia; Sciuridae. The record is from RefSeq and is a predicted model, not a curated record.